Molecule: ribosomal RNA, 496 nt
Filed under: uncultured bacterium
Lineage: Bacteria
Description: partial 16S ribosomal RNA
Rfam family: Bacterial small subunit ribosomal RNA
Source: RNAcentral
GAUGAACGCUGGCGGCGUGCCUAAUACAUGCAAGUCGAGCGAACAGACAAGGAUCUUUCUCCUCUGACGUUAGCGUCGCACGGGUGAGUAACACGUGGAUAACCCACCUAUAAUACUUGGAUAACAGCGUGAAACAGGAUCUAUUACCGCAUAAUAUCUUUAUCCGCAGGGUUCAAUAGUUGGAGACGGUUUUGCUGUCACUUAUAGAUGGUUCCGCGCUGCAUUAGCUAGUUGGUAUGGUAACGGCUUCACAAGUCAACGAUGCAUAGCCGACCUGAGAGGGUGAUCGGCCACACUGGAAAUGAGAGGCGGGCCAGACGCCUACGGGAGGCGGCAGUGGGGAAUCUUCCGGAAAGGGCGAAAGCCUGACGAGGCAACGGCGGGUGAGUGAUGAAGGUCUUCGGAUCGUAAAGCUCUGUUAUUAGGGAAGAACAAAUGUGUAAAUAACUAUGCACGUCUUGACGGUACGUAAUCAGAAAGCCACGGUUAACUACGU